Molecule: ribosomal RNA, 515 nt
Filed under: uncultured bacterium
Lineage: Bacteria
Description: bacterial SSU rRNA
Rfam family: Bacterial small subunit ribosomal RNA
Source: RNAcentral
GUGGCGAACGGGUGAGUAAUGCAUCGGAACGUGCCCAGUAGUGGGGGAUAACCGCUCGAAAGAGUGGCUAAUACCGCAUAUUCUCUACGGAGGAAAGGGGGGGAUCUUCGGACCUCCCGCUAUUGGAGCGGCCGAUGUCGGAUUAGCUAGUUGGUGGGGUAAUGGCUCACCAAGGUUACGAUCCGUAGCUGGUCUGAGAGGAUGACCAGCCACACUGGGACUGAGACACGGCCCAGACUCCUACGGGAGGCAGCAGUGGGGAAUCUUGGACAAUGGGGGGAACCCUGAUCCAGCAAUCCCGCGUGUGUGAUGAAGGCCUUCGGGUUGUAAAGCACUUUUUGCAGGGAAGAAAUAGCCCGGGUGAAUAAUCCGGGUGACUGACGGUACCUGCGGAAUAAGCACCGGCUAACUACGCGCCAGCAGCCGCGGUAAUACGUAGGGUGCAAGCGUUAAUCGGAAUUACUGGGCGUAAAGGGUACGCAGGCGGCCAGGCAAGAAGGGUGUGAAAUCCCUGG